AGAGCGAACGCUGGCGGCAGGCUUAACACAUGCAAGUCGAGCGGGCGUAGCAAUACGUCAGCGGCAGACGGGUGAGUAACGCGUGGGAACGUACCUUUUGGUUCGGAACAACCCAGGGAAACUUGGGCUAAUACCGGAUAAGCCCUUACGGGGAAAGAUUUAUCGCCGAAAGAUCGGCCCGCGUCUGAUUAGCUAGUUGGUGAGGUAAUGGCUCACCAAGGCGACGAUCAGUAGCUGGUCUGAGAGGAUGAUCAGCCACAUUGGGACUGAGACACGGCCCAAACUCCUACGGGAGGCAGCAGUGGGGAAUAUUGGACAAUGGGCGCAAGCCUGAUCCAGCCAUGCCGCGUGAGUGAUGAAGGCCCUAGGGGUUGUAAAGCCCUUUCGGCGGGGAAGAUAAUGACGGUACCCGCAGAAGAAGCCCCGGCUAACUUCGCGCCAGCAGCCGC
RNAcentral lists this ribosomal RNA (449 nucleotides) under uncultured bacterium. RNAcentral describes it as "SSU rRNA". It matches the Rfam family "Bacterial small subunit ribosomal RNA", at positions 26 to 518 of the family's 1533-position model. The record is from RNAcentral.